AUUGAACGCUGGCGGCAGGCCUAACACAUGCAAGUCGAGCGGAUGAAGGGAGCUUGCUCCUGGAUUCAGCGGCGGACGGGUGAGUAAUGCCUAGGAAUCUGCCUGGUAGCGGGGGAUAACGUCCGGAAACGGGCGCUAAUACCGCAUACGUCCUGAGGGAGAAAGUGGGGGAUCUUCGGACCUCACGCUAUCAGAUGAGCCUAGGUCGUAUUAGCUAGUUGGUGGGGUAAAGGCCUACCAAGGCGACGAUCCGUAACUGGUCUGAGAGGAUGAUCAGUCACACUGGAACUGAGACACGGUCCAGACUCCUACGGGAGGCAGCAGUGGGGAAUAUUGGACAAUGGGCGAAAGCCUGAUCCAGCCAUGCCGCGUGUGUGAAGAAGGUCUUCGGAUUGUAAAGCACUUUAAGUUGGGAGGAAGGGCAGUAAGUUAAUACCUUGCUGUUUUGACGUUACCAACAGAAUAAGCACCGGCUAACUUCGUG
This 484-nucleotide ribosomal RNA is filed under the name uncultured bacterium. Its description in RNAcentral is "partial 16S ribosomal RNA". It matches the Rfam family "Bacterial small subunit ribosomal RNA", at positions 30 to 507 of the family's 1533-position model. The record is from RNAcentral.